CCUACGGGAGGCUGCAGUGAGGAAUAUUGGUCAAUGGCCGGAAGGCUGAACCAGCCAAGCCGCGUGAGGGAGGAAGGCGCAGAGCGUCGCAGACCUCUUUUGCCGGGGGACAAAAGGCCGGACUCGUCCGGUCCUGAGGGUACCCGGAGAAAAAGCAUCGGCUAACUCCGUGCCAGCAGCCGCGGUAAUACGGAGGAUGCGAGCGUUAUCCGGAUUCAUUGGGUGUAAAGGGAGCGUAGACGGCUUGGCAAGCCAGAUGUGAAAGGCUGGGGCUCAACCUCAGGACUGCAUUUGGAACUGUCAUGCUAGAGUGUCGGAGAGGCAGGUGGAAUUCCUAGUGUAGCGGUGAAAUGCGUAGAUAUUAGGAGGAACACCAGUGGCGAAGGCGGCCUGCUGGACGAUGACUGACGUUGAGGCUCGAAAGCGUGGGGAGCAAACAGGAUUAGAUACCCUAGUAGUC
Molecule: ribosomal RNA, 460 nt
Filed under: uncultured bacterium
Lineage: Bacteria
Description: partial 16S ribosomal RNA
Rfam family: Bacterial small subunit ribosomal RNA
Source: RNAcentral